Long non-coding RNA from Nycticebus coucang (slow loris), 2735 nucleotides. RefSeq lists it as uncharacterized. The record is from RefSeq and is a predicted model, not a curated record. The transcript has 3 exons. NCBI's taxonomy places the organism in Eukaryota, Metazoa, Chordata, Mammalia, Primates, Lorisidae.
UCCUCAACGCCCUUUGGCCAGCGCCAAAAAAGUCCCGCUCGCUUCUGGGAGCCCUUCGCCGCAGGGUCGGUCCGCGCAGGAUAGAGCUCCUUGAUUGGCUAAUGCAGCAGCGAUUCACGCCUCGCCGAGGCGUUCCUAGCAGCCGCCGUGCGGAAGCGUCUGGCCGGUAACCGCGGUGGACCCGUUGCUUAAGAGCGGUGGUGGGGCCUUUGAUGUUGCCAUAGCAACGCGGUUGCCUUGGAGAUGAAUGUCUAAGUGCCUGAAGCCUAAAUUUGGCUCUCCAACCUUCCUCUUCCCACUUGUUUCCUCCAGAUGUCCGAAACUAGCCCUUUUUACUUUUCGCAAGGUUAAUCUGUUUCAUCUGCUACUGACCCAAAUGCCUUCCACGUCCUUUGGAACCUACUGACUUCCCUAUUCCCACCCAGGACUGCUUCUUCCUCCGGGGAAGGUGACUGAUACGUCAAUGACUACAACUGGUGAUGCAGAUGAAGAAAUGAGGAACUGAAGGGCGGCGCCUGUGGCUCAGUCGAGUCUCAAGCUGUUGCCCUGGGUAGAGUGCUAUGGCAUCACAGCUCACAGCGACCUCCAACUCUGGGGUUCAAGCGAUUCUCCUGCCUCUGCCUCCCAAGUAGCUGGGCCUACAGGCACCUGCCACAAUGCCUGGCUAUUUUUUUUUUGCCGUUGCAGUUGUCACUGGUGUUUUAACUGGCCUGGACUUAGGGCAGAGUUGCAAAAGCAGUAGGGUUUUCAUGUACCCUUCACCCAGCCUUGUAUAUCAGCAUCUUGCAUAAUAAUAGAAGAGGCCAGGCAAGCCAUGGUGGCUCACACCUGUAAUCAAAGCACUCUGGGAGGCUGAGGCAGGUGGAUUGCCUAAAUUCAGGAUUUUCAGACCAGCCUAAGCAAGAGCCAGACCCGGUCUCUAGUAAAAACUGAAAAACUAGUAUGGUGUCGUAGUGGGCGCCUGUAGUCCCAGUUACUUGGGAGGCUGAGGCAAGAGAAUUGUUGAAGCCCAAGAGUUUGAGGUUGCUGUGAGCUGUGACAGCAUGGCACUCUACUGAGGGUGUAGUGAGACUCAGUCUCAAAAAAAAAAAAAAAAAAAGUCGGGGAAGGAGAGUGAGUGGGGGCAGGAAAUGCUUCUGCUACUGGCAUUUUCUAUUAGAAGCCAAGGAUGCUGCUAAACAUGUUGCAGUGUACGGCCCCACAAAAAGAACUAUCCAACCCAAUUGUCAGAAACUCUGUCAUAGAAUAAUUACCAAAGCUAACAGGUCAAUAUUGGCAUAAUAAUAUUAACUAAACUACAGACUUCUCCUGCCCCAAUUUUUCCAUUAGUGGUCUUUUUAUGUUCCAGGAUGGGUUUGCCUGGUGUUUCCCCAUGAUUAGAUUGAGGUUAUGUGGUACUGGGAAGAAUAUGACAGAGACCACAUGACCUUCAAGAUCUGGGUAACAAGUAUGCUUAUUAAUACUAGAGUGUUACUGUUUCUGGCCCCACUAAGUGAAUAAAGCAAGGAAAUAUAUACACACAUUUCUGUAUGUAUUUGUAUACAUAUUAAAAAGCCAUGAAUUCACACUGAUGCUUCUAACUUUAAUCCAGCCUCACAGGAUUCAUGCUGACCUCUCCCAUCUCCUGUUUUAUCUGUAACUUCUUUCUCCAGCAGUGAGCAACCUGGCUCACAUUAUCUACAUACAGGACAUUAACUUAUCUGUUUAACCCACCCCCUUUUUUUUCUUCUUUUUUUUUGUUGAGACGGAGUUCUACCCUGUGCCAUGAGCAGAGUGCAAUGGCAUCAUAGCUCACUGCAACCUCAGACUUGGGCUGUGGGCAUCCUGCUGCCUCAGCCUCUGAAGCUGCUGGGAUUACAGGUGCUCGCUGUGGCGCCUGGCUGGGUUUUUCCAUUUUUUCAUGAGUCAGGAUCUCACUCUCGCUCAGACAAGCCUCAAACUCCUGAGCUCAAGCAAUCCUCCUGCCUCAGCCUCCCACAGUGCUGGGAUUAAAAGUGUGAGCCACCGCGCCCAGCCUUUUUUUUUUUUCCAAACUCCUGGGCUCAAGCGAUCCUCCUGCCUCAGCCUCCUCAGUAGCUUGGACUACAGGCUCCCUCCCCAACCCCCAGCUUUUUUUUUCUAUUUUUAGUAGAGAUGGAGUCUUGCUCAGGCUGGUCUUGAACUCCUAAGCUCAAAUAAUCCACCUGUCUUGGCCUCCCAAUGUGCUAGGACUACAGGCAUUAGUCACUGUGCCUGGCCAAGAAACUUUUUUUAUAGCUGGGUACAAAGGUUUACAUCCAUAAUCCCAGAGCUUUGGAAGGUCAAGGCAGUUGGAUUACUUGAGACCAGAAGCUGGAGACCCGUCUGGGUGACAUAGUGAGAUUCUGUCUCUAUUAAAAAAAAAGAAACUAAAUAAUAAAAUAGAUUUCUUUGCAUUGACAUCGUGGCUCAAAUAAAAAUAAAAUAAUGUUUAUGUAAGUGCAUUGAAAAAGGCCUAACUGGGCAGUGCCUGUGGCUCAGUCGGUAAGGCGCCGACCCCAUAUGCUGAGGGUGGCGGGUUCAAACCCAGCCCCAGCCGAACUGCAACAAAAAAGUAGCCGGGCAUUGUGGUGGGCACUUGCAGUCCCAGCUAUUUGGGAGGCUGAGGCAAGAGAAUUGCCUAAGCCCAGGAGUUAAAGGUUGCUGUGAGGUGUGUGAUGCCACAGCACUCUACCAAGGGCCAUAAAGUGAGACUCUUGUCUCUACAAAAAGAAAAA